CUUUCGCCCUUCCUUGCAGCCGAAGCAACACCAUCCACAGCUAUGUUUUGCGUCUGAGUUUCUUGGGAUGUCGUCAACUGGAUACCCUAAUUGCUGGCACCCUUUCCUCAACACAGCAUUGUUGAGUCCUUCCACCACAUCGACUUUGGUAUGAACUCCCAUCCUCUGGCAAACAACCUCCAUUGCUUCUCUAUACGUCUUGCUCUCAAACAGCUCCAGUUGGUAUUCAUGGCUCCACUCUUUGGUAACCUUGUGUGGAGUUUUGAUGGAGGCGGACCAGUUGAUAGCCGAGCCUCCUCCCACUGUCGAGCCAGCGAGGACUACGAAGCUCAUGUCGUUGGUGGCUCGGAGGCCUCCCGAGAGGUACAUUUGGUCCAUGGAAGGGCCUUCGAGUAAUGAGAGGUUGUUUCUGGCAAAGUAACUUCCUUUCUCCAGGACGAGCACUUUGUAUCCGGCGUUUGCUAGCAUUCCUGCAACCACGCCACCACCCGAGCCGGAGCCGACUACUACAGCAUCGCAUUUGAUGUUGAUCGUUCCGGUAGUGGUGGCGGAGACUUGGAAUCCUGAUUUUUGUAGGGAGUCUGUGACUGUGUUCGUUGGGAGAUUUGUGUUGAUGAUCCCUCUGUGGAGUGGUCCGUAGGGAUGUUCUUUGGUGGUGGUGAUAUUAGCAGCUGCUGCGAGAAGUUCGUUUGAAGGAUGUUGUUGUUCUGGUUUGUAUGCAGGGUCCGACCCCGGAUAACCAAUUGCCUCCCAUGUCGGAUUCUCAAUCUUCUCGUCAACCUGGUAAGUACGUGGAUUAAAGAGAUGAAUAUCAUCAAUAAUUUCUGGAGAAAUAUAGUUUCAUGGUAAUAAUUGCUGAAGAGAAAACUAUAUAUACUUGAAACAAGAGCAAUUUCCUUGAAUGUUAAAUGAGAUAUUCAUAUUGUUCCAACAUUCAAAAUGCAGCUAUGAUUAAACAACUUGUCCGUCCCAUCUGUCAAAGAUAUUCUGGACUAAGAAAAUAACUUUCCAGUGGGUAGUUCAACAACAUUGAUGUCGUCUUCUAUGAAGUCCCCCAAAGACAAUAGCGGCCUGGUCCAGAACGUUUUAAUGUACUAGACCAAAUUGUAUACGGGUUGUGGGUCAUAGCCUAGGAGAGACUCUCUUGAAUCCACCACUAUCCACCGAUAAUAGAGUUCGUCCACCAUUAUAGAUGAUUAUGAGUGCAAGUAACUAUAUUUACCAGCUAGAUUGAUUAUCUUAUCCAUCUAAGUAAUGAAUGUGCUAGGUAAGGUAGACAGAUAGAUAGAUAGAUAGAUAAUAAUGGCUAAUUAUAAUGGUUAGUGAAUCCUAGCUAAUUACCUAACAUAUGGACAGCCGUCCAGAAAGAAUUGAUAAAGACAAUCUAGCUACUAUUUCCUUUUAUAAGUAUGCAUGACAACACAACCCCAUGCAUGAACAGGUAAUUAAUUAAGCAAUUCUGAAGUGGAUGUACCUGGGAGAAGAAGAUAAGUGGAAUGAGGAGUUUGAAAGCCUUGAAGAGCAUCCUGAGGUGGAAGAAGAUGCUCUGAGACCAUGAGAGGACGAUUUGUUCCCUUGUCUCAAGAGGG
RNAcentral lists this long non-coding RNA (1589 nucleotides) under Linum usitatissimum (flax). RNAcentral describes it as "long non-coding RNA (LUSI_LNC006384)". Lineage: Eukaryota; Viridiplantae; Streptophyta; Magnoliopsida; Malpighiales; Linaceae. The record is from RNAcentral.